This 363-nucleotide ribosomal RNA is filed under the name Caribbiopheromera jamaicana. RNAcentral describes it as "partial 12S ribosomal RNA". The record is from RNAcentral. Lineage: Eukaryota; Metazoa; Arthropoda; Insecta; Phasmatodea; Diapheromeridae.
UUAUACAAUUGAUGUUAUUUAAUGUAAUUGGAUGAUGAAGUUAAAUUUAUUUAUGAAUUUAUUAAUUAUGUUUUUAGGUGAAAUUUAAAUGUUAUGUAAUUUUAUCAUAUAUUCUUUUAAAGUUGAAUUUUAAACUAGGAUUAGAUACCCUAUUAUUUUAUCUGUAAAAUAUUCCCGGGGUAGUAGUAGAUAUUUUCUUGAAACCCAAAGGAUUUGGCGGUGUUUUAGUCUAUUUAGAGGAACCUGCCCCUUAAUCGAUAGUCCUCGUUUUAUCUUUCUUUAUAUUGAUUUCAGUAUGUAUACCUCCGUUAUAAGUUUAUUCUUUUAGGUUAUUUACUAUAAAUUUUAUUAAAUUUUAUUUCA